AAGAAACCAACUGGGAUUACCUUAGUAACGGCGAGUGAAGCGGUAAAAGCUCAAAUUUGAAAUCUGGUACUUUCAGUGCCCGAGUUGUAAUUUGUAGAAUUUGUCUUUGAUUAGGUCCUUGUCUAUGUUCCUUGGAACAGGACGUCAUAGAGGGUGAGAAUCCCGUUUGGCGAGGAUACCUUUUCUCUGUAAGACUUUUUCGAAGAGUCGAGUUGUUUGGGAAUGCAGCUCAAAGUGGGUGGUAAAUUCCAUCUAAAGCUAAAUAUUGGCGAGAGACCGAUAGCGAACAAGUACAGUGAUGGAAAGAUGAAAAGAACUUUGAAAAGAGAGUGAAAAAGUACGUGAAAUUGUUGAAAGGGAAGGGCAUUUGAUCAGACAUGGUGUUUUUUGCAUGCACUCGCCUCUCGUGGGCUUGGGCCUCUCAAAAAUUUCACUGGGCCAACAUCAAUUCUGGCAGCAGGAUAAAUCAUUAAGAAUGUAGCUACUUCGGUAGUGUUAUAGCUUUUUGGAAUACUGUUAGCCGGGAUUGAGGACUGCGCUUCGGCAAGGAUGUUGGCAUAAUGGUUAAAUGCCGCCCG
RNAcentral lists this ribosomal RNA (578 nucleotides) under Hanseniaspora uvarum. Its description in RNAcentral is "partial large subunit ribosomal RNA". It matches the Rfam family "Eukaryotic large subunit ribosomal RNA", at positions 59 to 651 of the family's 3401-position model. Lineage: Eukaryota; Fungi; Ascomycota; Saccharomycetes; Saccharomycodales; Saccharomycodaceae. The record is from RNAcentral.